CUCACACUGGCCGGUCGUUUUACAGCCUAACACAUGCAAGUCGAGCGGAUGACGGGAGCUUGCUCCUUGAUUCAGCGGCGGACGGGUGAGUAAUAGCCUAGGAAUCUGCCUGGUAGUGGGGGACAACGUUCGAAAGGAACGCUAAUACCGCAUACGUCCUACGGGAAGAAAGCAAGGGGACCUUCGGGCCUUGCGCUAUCAGAUGAGCCUAGGUCGGAUUAGCUAUGUUGGUGGGGUAAUGGCUCACCAAGGCGACGAUCCGUAACUGGUCUGAGAGGAUGAUCAGUCACACUGGAACUGAGACACAGGUCCAGACUCCUACGGGAGGCAGCAGUUGGGGAAUAUUGGACAAUGGGCGAAAGCCUGAUCCAGACAUGCCGAGUGUGUAGAAGAAGGUCUUCGGAUUGUAAAGCACUUUUAACGUUGGGAGGAAGGGCAGUAAGCUAAUACCUUGCUGUAUUGACGUUACCGACAGACAUAAGCACCGGCUAACUCUAGUGCCAGCAGCCGAGGUAAUACAGAAGGGUGCAAGCGUUACAUCGGAAAUUACAGGGGCGUAAGCGC
This 564-nucleotide ribosomal RNA is filed under the name uncultured bacterium. Its description in RNAcentral is "bacterial SSU rRNA". It matches the Rfam family "Bacterial small subunit ribosomal RNA", at positions 34 to 540 of the family's 1533-position model. The record is from RNAcentral.